Long non-coding RNA from Polypterus senegalus (gray bichir), 514 nucleotides. RefSeq lists it as uncharacterized. NCBI's taxonomy places the organism in Eukaryota, Metazoa, Chordata, Cladistia, Polypteriformes, Polypteridae. The record is from RefSeq and is a predicted model, not a curated record. The transcript is spliced from 3 exons.
AGAAGAGGAAAAAUGUUGUGCAGGUACCACAAAUGAAUAAUGAAUACAUAUUUCAGCAACAGGAAAAGUGUGACCUAGCAAUGCCUCACGUCGCAUCCAUUUCCUCAGCAUCCUCAUCCAUAGAGAAAAUGAGAAGUGAAAAAUCUGCCCCAGUUGAUAUUGCAUCUGAAUCUGCUCUUUACUCUGGAUGUCCAAGCCAUACUGAAGACUGCCUGAAUACUCAUAAAGGAAUUCUCCCAACAAAGUUCUGCAAAUCAGAUACAAUUGCAACAAAAAAAGCAGAAAUCCUACCAUUUGAAGAUUUGAAAAAUCUUCAAAAAUCUCUCUUCAGGAGUCAGAUAAUGUGUCUGUUGUUUUGAGCUCACCUCAACUUGCAUCACCAAACACAUAUCCAGAGACACCAGCUGAGAAGAGUAAGGAUGUACCUAGAAAUAAUAACCCAGGAAUUGAGGAUCAAGAAAAUGAAGAUGUGAAUUCUGUCUUGUCUUAUCAAUCACAAUGCAGUUCCUUAGAG